CUUUUACAAUGAAGAGUUUGAUCCUGGCUCAGGAUGAACGCUAGCUACAGGCUUAACACAUGCAAGUCGAGGGGCAUCAGUUUGGUUUGCUUGCAAACCAAAGCUGGCGACCGGCGCACGGGUGAGUAACACGUAUCCAACCUACCUCAUACUCGGGGAUAGCCUUUCGAAAGAAAGAUUAAUAUCCGAUAGCAUAUAUUUCCCGCAUGGGUUUUAUAUUAAAGAAAUUCGGUAUGAGAUGGGGAUGCGUUCCAUUAGUUUGUUGGGGGGGUAACGGCCCACCAAGACUACGAUGGAUAGGGGUUCUGAGAGGAAGGUCCCCCACAUUGGAACUGAGACACGGUCCAAACUCCUACGGGAGGCAGCAGUGAGGAAUAUUGGUCAAUGGACGCGAGUCUGAACCAGCCAAGUAGCGUGAAGGAUGACUGCCCUAUGGGUUGUAAACUUCUUUUAUAUGGGAAUAAAGUGGUCCACGUGUGGACUUUUGUAUGUACCAUAUGAAUAAGGAUCGGCUAACUCCGUGCCAGCAGCCGCGGUAAUACGGAGGAUCCGAGCGUUAUCCGGAUUUAUUGGGUUUAAAGGGAGCGUAGGCGGAUUGUUAAGUCAGUUGUGAAAGUUUGCGGCUCAACCGUAAAAUUGCAGUUGAUACUGGCAGUCUUGAGUGCAGUAGAGGUGGGCGGAAUUCGUGGUGUAGCGGUGAAAUGCUUAGAUAUCACGAAGAACUCCGAUUGCGAAGGCAGCUCACUGGAGUGUAACUGACGCUGAUGCUCGAAAGUGUGGGUAUCAAACAGGAUUAGAUACCCUGGUAGUCCACACAGUAAACGAUGAAUACUCGCUGUUUGCGAUAUACAGUAAGCGGCCAAGCGAAAGCAUUAAGUAUUCCACCUGGGGAGUACGCCGGCAACGGUGAAACUCAAAGGAAUUGACGGGGGCCCGCACAAGCGGAGGAACAUGUGGUUUAAUUCGAUGAUACGCGAGGAACCUUACCCGGGCUUAAAUUGCAAAUGAAUUAUGGGGAAACCCAUACGCCGCAAGGCAUUUGUGAAGGUGCUGCAUGGUUGUCGUCAGCUCGUGCCGUGAGGUGUCGGCUUAAGUGCCAUAACGAGCGCAACCCUUAUCUUCAGUUACUAACAGGUCAUGCUGAGGACUCUGGAGAGACUGCCGUCGUAAGAUGUGAGGAAGGUGGGGAUGACGUCAAAUCAGCACGGCCCUUACGUCCGGGGCUACACACGUGUUACAAUGGGGGGUACAGAAGGCCGCUACCUGGUGACAGGAUGCCAAUCCCAAAAACCUCUCUCAGUUCGGAUCGAAGUCUGCAACCCGACUUCGUGAAGCUGGAUUCGCUAGUAAUCGCGCAUCAGCCAUGGCGCGGUGAAUACGUUCCCGGGCCUUGUACACACCGCCCGUCAAGCCAUGAAAGCCGGGGGUACCUGAAGUACGUAACCGCAAGGAGCGUCCUAGGGUAAAACUGGUAAUUGGGGCUAAGUCGUAACAAGGUAGCCGUACCGGAAGGUGCGGCUGGAACACCUCCUUUCUGGAGC
This 1541-nucleotide ribosomal RNA is filed under the name Bacteroides caccae. Its description in RNAcentral is "bacterial SSU rRNA". It matches the Rfam family "Bacterial small subunit ribosomal RNA". The record is from RNAcentral. Lineage: Bacteria; Pseudomonadati; Bacteroidota; Bacteroidia; Bacteroidales; Bacteroidaceae.